CAUGACUGACAUUCCCAACCAAAGCUUUUGCGGGCAAGCAGCCAUUGAGGUUAUCCAUUUGGUUACUCAAGAACCACAGGAAAAGAUGCAGAGGUCACCUCAUAAAAGAGUAACUUUCGUGAAUAAGCUGUCCAGGUGCAGGGUACUGACCUACAACCAAGCCAUCGUGCCACAUGGAAUAUUUACUUGGAACAGAUAAGCUAAAGGGACUAUGUGGGGUUUUCGGGAAGCAGCUGGGCCAGUGUCUCUUUGGAGAUCAAAUUCAGGCUCCACCCUUUACUGUGGAUGUAAAUAAUACAUUAGCCUAUUUAUUUUUAGUUUGGUAUUCUGUAUUCGCCCUGCGAGGUGGUUGUUAUUACCCUUGAGUAUCUUUAGAGAGCACCCUCAUACAUGUUCUGUUUUGGCAUGUUUUUGUUCCCUUUAAUACAGUUUUAAUGAGCAAUACAUUGAGACAAACAGGGUCUCUGGAAUAGGACUGUCUAAUGAACUGCAUCUUUGUAAGAACCUGAAAAUAAAAGUUAUGCACAGUAUAUAUAUUUAAUAAAUGAUUCAUUCGA
This is a long non-coding RNA of Triplophysa rosa, 557 nucleotides long. RefSeq lists it as uncharacterized. The transcript is spliced from 2 exons. The record is from RefSeq and is a predicted model, not a curated record. Lineage: Eukaryota; Metazoa; Chordata; Actinopteri; Cypriniformes; Nemacheilidae.